RNAcentral lists this ribosomal RNA (465 nucleotides) under uncultured bacterium. RNAcentral describes it as "partial 16S ribosomal RNA". It matches the Rfam family "Bacterial small subunit ribosomal RNA", at positions 28 to 507 of the family's 1533-position model. The record is from RNAcentral.
GACGAACGCUGGCGGCGUGCUUAACACAUGCAAGUCGAACGGAAAGGCCCUGCUUGCAGGGUACUCGAGUGGCGAACGGGUGAGUAACACGUGGGUGAUCUGCCCUGCACUUCGGGAUAAGCUUGGGAAACUGGGUCUAAUACCGGAUAGGAGCCAUCUUUAGUGUGGUGGUUGGAAAGUUUUUUCGGUGUAGGAUGAGCUCGCGGCCUAUCAGCUUGUUGGUGGGGUAAUGGCCUACCAAGGCGGCGACGGGUAGCCGGCCUGGGAGGGUGUACGGCCACAUUGGGACUGGGAUACGGCCCAGACUCCUACGGGGGGCAGCAGUGGGGAAUAUUGCACAAUGGGCGCAAGCCUGAUGCAGCGACGCCGCGUGGGGGAUGAAGGCCUUCGGGUUGUAAACUCCUUUCGCUAGGGACGAAGCUUUUUGUGACGGUACCUAGAUAAGAAGCACCGGCUAACUACGUG